This 698-nucleotide long non-coding RNA is filed under the name Citrus sinensis (sweet orange). Its description in RNAcentral is "long non-coding RNA (CSIN_LNC004502)". The record is from RNAcentral. Lineage: Eukaryota; Viridiplantae; Streptophyta; Magnoliopsida; Sapindales; Rutaceae.
ACUAAAGUUGUUUCGGUUGUCUAUAAAGCAUUUUGAAUUAAAUUUUGUUUUCAGGAAUAUAACAUAUAUAUUUUUCUCAUAUUCUGAAUUUCAUAUCUUGUGAAUAUCCACAUGAGAGUAAAACAAUCAAUAUCAACUCUGAUUGUUUUGCUUUGAUGUGAGGGUAACUUUAUUCUGACAACUUGCAGGACAAGUGAUCAAAGGGUGAGAAUUGUGUUAGAUUGGUGAGACUGGAUAUGGUUCAAACAAGUACCAUUGAAUAUAGCUAUGGACAUGGUGGAUGUGGACAUGGUAGCUCAACUUAGGUUGAUGUCAAAAUUGAAGCGGAUAUUGUUAAAAGGGCGUUAAGCUACGGUACCACCCUAUGAAGUUAGUUGCCCAAAAUGCAAGCAUUUUAUUUGAAAAGGCAUGAGAUUCCAACGGCUAUAUGUAAAUUCCUAUAUGUAUCAUUAAUGGUUAAUCAAUGGUUAGCCUCUUGUUAUUCAUUUUGUGCAUUCAGGUGCCAUCAAUUGACAGCCGAAAGUAUGGUUGCAUUAAGCUGCUGCUAGGAAAUUUGAGGAUAUGACGGCUGCCGCUACUAUUGUCUAAGAGCAAACAGCUACAAGACUUUCCCCAUCACAUCUGAUCCUGCUUAACCUGAACCUGUGGCUAUGGAUAAUCCCAGGUUCUUAUUAUCAACUACAUAAUCUUUUGCAUUG